ACGGCGCAGGGGGGCGUAACACGUGGGCAAUCUGCCCUCCGAUGGGGAAUAACCCCGCGAAAGCGGGGCUAAUUCCGCAUAACAUUCCUUGAACUCUGGUUUGGGGAUUCAAAGCAGCAAUGCGUCGGAGGAGGAGCCCGCGCCCGAUUAGCUAGUUGGUGAGGUAAUGGCUUACCAAGGCAAUGAUCGGUAGCUGGUCUGAGAGGAUGAUCAGCCACACUGGAACUGAGACACGGUCCAGACUCCUACGGGAGGCAGCAGUGGGGAAUCUUGCACAAUGGGCGAAAGCCUGAUGCAGCGACGCCGCGUGGGGGAUGAAGCUUUUCGGAGUGUAAACCCCUUUCGACCGGGAAGAAUGCCCGCAAGGGAGUGACGGUACCGGUAUAAGAAGCCCCGGCUAACUACGUGCCAGCAGCCGCGGUAAGACGUAGGGGGCCAGCGUUGUUCGGAAUUACUGGGUGUAAAGGGUUCGUAGGCGGUGCGGCAAGUUGGGAGUGAAAUCCCUGGGCUUAACCCAGAGGCUGCUUCCAA
Molecule: ribosomal RNA, 531 nt
Filed under: uncultured bacterium
Lineage: Bacteria
Description: bacterial SSU rRNA
Rfam family: Bacterial small subunit ribosomal RNA
Source: RNAcentral